This 330-nucleotide long non-coding RNA is filed under the name Nicotiana benthamiana. RNAcentral's name for it is "long non-coding RNA (NBEN_LNC038286)". Lineage: Eukaryota; Viridiplantae; Streptophyta; Magnoliopsida; Solanales; Solanaceae. The record is from RNAcentral.
GCACAAUAUAGAGAAAGCACAUUAAUUAAAACAUUAAUUUCACACUAACCUUGGCUUAACAGCUGACUCUUCAAUUGCGAAAUGGGGAAUUGAAGGAAACAAAGAAGACAGGACAGAAAAUUUUGGCCUAAAACUUCCAGAGAAAGGACACCAGGAUGCAUAGAAAAGCAAAGCAACAUAAUCAUGUGUAUUCCGGUGGAUCAUAUUUAGAGCCCAGGCCUAAAUCUUCCAGAGAAAGGACACCAGGAUGCAUAGAAAAGCAAAGCAACAUAAUCAUGUGUAUUCCGGUGGAUCAUAUUUAGUGCCCUCUGCAAUGACAGUUCAUCUCCC